Molecule: non-coding RNA, 109 nt
Organism: Acanthosepion pharaonis
Lineage: Eukaryota; Metazoa; Mollusca; Cephalopoda; Sepiida; Sepiidae
Source: the annotation of a GenBank genome assembly
AUGGCCAUAUCACAUUGAAUCACCAGUUCCCGUACAAUCACCAGUUAAGCAAUGUCAAGCCUGGUCAGUACUUAGAUGGGUGACUUCUUGGGAAUACAAUGUGCUGUAA